This 1465-nucleotide ribosomal RNA is filed under the name Prochlorococcus sp. AG-412-F02. Its description in RNAcentral is "bacterial SSU rRNA". It matches the Rfam family "Bacterial small subunit ribosomal RNA". The record is from RNAcentral. Lineage: Bacteria; Bacillati; Cyanobacteriota; Cyanophyceae; Synechococcales; Prochlorococcaceae.
AGAGUUUGAUCCUGGCUCAGGAUGAACGCUGGCGGCGUGCUUAACACAUGCAAGUCGAACGAACCUUCGGGUUAGUGGCGGACGGGUGAGUAACGCGUGAGAAUCUGCCCUCAGGAGGGGGAUAACGGUUGGAAACGACCGCUAAUACCCCAUAUGCCGAAAGGUGAAAUGAAUUUCGCCUGAGGAUGAGCUCGCGUCUGAUUAGCUAGUUGGUGAGGUAAUGGCUCACCAAGGCUUCGAUCAGUAGCUGGUCUGAGAGGAUGAUCAGCCACACUGGGACUGAGACACGGCCCAGACUCCUACGGGAGGCAGCAGUGGGGAAUUUUCCGCAAUGGGCGAAAGCCUGACGGAGCAACGCCGCGUGAGGGACGAAGGCCUCUGGGCUGUAAACCUCUUUUCUCAAGGAAGAAGAUAUGACGGUACUUGAGGAAUAAGCCACGGCUAAUUCCGUGCCAGCAGCCGCGGUAAUACGGGAGUGGCAAGCGUUAUCCGGAAUUAUUGGGCGUAAAGCGUCCGCAGGCGGCCUUUCAAGUCUGCUGUUAAAGCGUGGAGCUUAACUCCAUUAUGGCAGUGGAAACUGAUAGGCUUGAGUAUGGUAGGGGCAGAGGGAAUUCCCGGUGUAGCGGUGAAAUGCGUAGAUAUCGGGAAGAACACCAGUGGCGAAGGCGCUCUGCUGGGCCAUUACUGACGCUCAUGGACGAAAGCCAGGGGAGCGAAAGGGAUUAGAUACCCCUGUAGUCCUGGCCGUAAACGAUGAACACUAGGUGUCGGGGGAAUCGACCCCUUCGGUGUCGUAGCUAACGCGUUAAGUGUUCCGCCUGGGGAGUACGCACGCAAGUGUGAAACUCAAAGGAAUUGACGGGGGCCCGCACAAGCGGUGGAGUAUGUGGUUUAAUUCGAUGCAACGCGAAGAACCUUACCAGGGUUUGACAUCCUGCGAACCUCUUAGAAAUUUGAGGGUGCCUUCGGGAAUGCAGUGACAGGUGGUGCAUGGCUGUCGUCAGCUCGUGUCGUGAGAUGUUGGGUUAAGUCCCGCAACGAGCGCAACCCACGUUUUUAGUUGCCAGCAUUUAGUUGGGCACUCUAGAAAGACCGCCGGUGAUAAACCGGAGGAAGGUGUGGAUGACGUCAAGUCAUCAUGCCCCUUACACCCUGGGCUACACACGUACUACAAUGCUACGGACAAAGGGCAGCAAACUCGCGAGAGCUAGCAAAUCCCAUAAACCGUGGCUCAGUUCAGAUCGUAGGCUGCAACUCGCCUACGUGAAGUAGGAAUCGCUAGUAAUCGCAGGUCAGCAUACUGCGGUGAAUACGUUCCCGGGCCUUGUACACACCGCCCGUCACACCAUGGAAGUUGGCCAUGCCCGAAGUCGUUACUCCAACCCUUGUGGAGGAGGACGCCGAAGGUGGGGCUAAUGACUGGGGUGAAGUCGUAACAAGGUAGCCGUACCGGAAGGUGCGGCUG